AUCACCCUGCGGUGUUGGUGCAGCUUUCUUUGGUUAAGACCUACAAGUUCCUCAACGGGAGUCACUAAGGUGCGGUUUCGCCACCGGCGUUGCCGCCCGGACACCCACUUGAAACCAGGGACUUUAACCGAUUAAAGUCACGGCACCGCGGGGUUUUU
Molecule: non-coding RNA, 158 nt
Filed under: Elusimicrobia bacterium HGW-Elusimicrobia-1
Lineage: Bacteria; Pseudomonadati; Elusimicrobiota
Description: 6S RNA
Rfam family: 6S / SsrS RNA
About the family: E. coli 6S RNA was the first non coding RNA to be sequenced, but its function was unknown until recently. It consists of 184 nucleotides that fold into an extended hairpin structure with a large single-stranded internal bulge.
Source: RNAcentral